This 242-nucleotide ribosomal RNA is filed under the name uncultured bacterium. RNAcentral's name for it is "partial 16S ribosomal RNA". It matches the Rfam family "Bacterial small subunit ribosomal RNA", at positions 94 to 334 of the family's 1533-position model. The record is from RNAcentral.
UUAGGCGAACGGGUGAGUAACGCGUGAGUAACCUGCCCUGGAGUGGGGGACAACAGUUGGAAACGACUGCUAAUACCGCAUAAGCCCACGAUCCGGCAUCGGAUUGAGGGAAAAGGAUUUAUUCGCUUCAGGAUGGACUCGCGUCCAAUUAGCUGGUUGGUGAGGUAACGGCCCACCAAGGCGACGAUUGGUAGCCGGACUGAGAGGUUGAACGGCCACAUUGGGACUGAGACACGGCCCAG